AUCCAAGGUGAUUCCCUCUCCAGGGGGCUUAUUUAGUGCCCUCAGAAGGAAAGUAGCAACUUGGAAUAAAAUCUGGCAUGCCUGAGGUCUUUGGGGGAGAGGGGAUGUUUAUUUCCUUUGCCUUCCUUUGGCUGCCUACAUGU
Talpa occidentalis (Iberian mole) is the source of this 143-nucleotide small nucleolar RNA. RefSeq annotates it as small nucleolar RNA SNORA67. Lineage: Eukaryota; Metazoa; Chordata; Mammalia; Eulipotyphla; Talpidae. The record is from RefSeq and is a predicted model, not a curated record. The transcript has a single exon.